GAGAUGGGUGGUUACUAGAAGAGCGAGAAGGAAGUGGCAGAACAAGUCAUUUCAAGUAGAGACAGCUGUAACUUCGUAAAGACAUCAAGUGGUAGAGACAAGUGUGAUGCUUAAGGUUGGUAACAUUUUUAAAAAAUAAAAAGUUAUUACUUUUCCAAAAGCAUUUCUGCUUCUAUUUUUGUAGUAGUUGUUGUUGUACUCACCUCGACUCAAUCAAUAUCACAUUACAUCAUCAGACGUAGACAAAAGUA
Molecule: long non-coding RNA, 251 nt
Filed under: Brassica napus (rape)
Lineage: Eukaryota; Viridiplantae; Streptophyta; Magnoliopsida; Brassicales; Brassicaceae
Description: long non-coding RNA (BNAP_LNC021706)
Source: RNAcentral